Non-coding RNA from Pelodiscus sinensis (Chinese soft-shelled turtle), 5299 nucleotides. The record is from RefSeq and is a predicted model, not a curated record. NCBI's taxonomy places the organism in Eukaryota, Metazoa, Chordata, Testudines, Trionychidae.
UAAAUAGUUUAGGCAAAUUUUUUUUCCCUUGUAUCUUCUUACCAGAAUAAGGAAGGUUGGACUGUCUUUGCUUUUGGGGGCUCUUCUUUCUCUCUCUUCCCCGUUCCUCACCUUCUCCAAACUGUGGGCACAACAGCUGUAUUCUCUCCUUCCUGUAGAAGGUGUGCAUUCUACGGGCUGGCUGAUACUUUUGAUGAGAUUUCUGUUUAUUUUCCUGUAAUAUGUAGCAGGCUUGGGGAUUUUGAGAGCAGGGAGAAUAAUAUAUCUAACGCUGAAACUGGUGAGCAUGUAGAUGCUAUAUAGCUUUGUUCUUUGUAAUAGAUAUUCCAGCUAAUGCAUCGUGUGUUAGGAAGUAUCACUAUUUUGAUGUUCCUGUCUUGCAAAAGUUAAUUUGGCAGCUUGGUGAUGGAUUUUAUAGUCUUUGAGCACGUUACAAAGAUUGAGCAGUACAAGUACAAAUAAACAGAUUGUCUAGAAUUCUUAUUCUACCUGCACAGGAGUGUGUGCCAUUCUGGAAAGCCUGCCCCAAUUGAGUAACAAAAGGUUUUGUGUCUUAGACCCUUCGCAGAUGUUACAGUCGAGUGAAGGAACAUGGCGUUGGAAAAAGGAAAAGCAGCUACACAUUUGAACAGUUGGAGCAGGUGUUUGGUCAGGGAGGAUGGGACUCCCAACCCUGCCAGCCUGUGCUCAUUAAUAGUAGUGGCUUGUACCAGGAGCUGGAAUCGGAUGGCAGUACUAUGGAGGAAUAUUCACAGGAGGAUUGGGGGAACCACAGUCAGGAUCUUCACUGCUACCAGGGAGGAGACCCAGAAUUAGAUGAAAUGCCUGCCACAAAAAGAACAUUAAAGAUAAAGCAGGAAUCUUCAGAAGAAUCACAGAAGCAAGACGUCAUGCAGAAUAUUGUGCAAAUCUUGGAAUCCGUCCAGUUAAAAUGGGAGCUGUUUCAGAGCUGGACAGACUUCUCCAGGCUACACCUUUCUAACAAACUAGCCAUUUUUGGGAUUGGUUAUAACACACGCUGGAAGGAGGAUAUUCGGUACCACUACGCAGAGAUCAGUUCCCAGGUGCCUCUUGGGAAGCGGCUUAGGGAAUAUUUCAAUUCGGAGAAGCCAGAGGGCAGGAUCGUUAUGACGAGAGUCCAGAAAAUGAACUGGAAAAAUGUUUACUAUAAAUUCCUAGAGAUUACUAUUAGCGAAGCAAGGUGCCUGGAGCUGCACAUGGAAAUCGACUGGAUACCCAUAGCACAUUCUAAGCCAACCGGAGGAAAUGUUGUUCAGUAUUUAUUACCAGGGGGGAUUCCCAAAAGCCCUGGCCUCUAUGCCAUUGGUUAUGAAGAUUGCCAGGAGAAACCCCACUCACCUCAUGUAGACCGCAUAGGCACAGAUCCUGGGAAAGAGACUCCAGGGGAGGUAGAUGUUCCUUCGCCGCAGGCCUCUCUCAGGGUGGAGAUGGAGUCCACCAGAAUUAUCUAUUGUUACCUUGGCAUUGCUGAGGUUAGAACUCUCCAGCAGUGCUUGUUUUUACACUUUCAGGCCAACACCAAAACCUUCAGCAAAGAGUGGGUUGGGAUUAAUGGAUUUUUAUCACAGAACUGCAUCGUAGAACCAGGGGUGUCACCUAAAUCCAUCUACAUCAAAUUUGUGGAAGUGGAGAGGGAUUUUCUUUCUGCUGGCUCUUUGGUAGAGUGCCUGGAAAAAGCCAUUGGAUACCCAUUAAAGUUUAACAACUGAAUUUCGUCCUUCAUAAGGAUAAGAGUUCCUGCCUCCCUUCCAUGUUGCUAGCAGACACGUACAGAUCCUGUCUGUUCACUGUAGGGCAAGUUAGACUUUCAAAGUGAAAAUGAACUUCAGAAUGAAAGAUGCUUGCAACUGAUUCAAAGCAACUUGUCCUGAGCAAGUAAAAUAUACAGCUAACUUGCUUGGCAGGCCACCUGGUUUUAUAAAGAGAAGAAUGAGAGCCUUGUACAAAUGACUGUAUGCAUACAUCGGGCAUGUGGAAAUCACGUAAACAUGCAUGUGGCCCAGAUGCCGAGCAGCUUUUAGGAGUGGAACUUUUCGCUGCAUCUGACUGACAGAAGAAAAAAUCCCUUGCCUUACUGCAGGGUGGUGUUGCAGCUGGCAGAAGAAGCUGUGGAGUGCCAGAUGUCCCAGAGAUGUAAGGCAGCAGUAGUAGUAUACACUGAAGCACCAGGUAACCAAAGUCCCACCCCAGUAAUCUGAACCCUCAGAUAAGGUGUAUCCACCAUGUUGUCCAGCCACUGAUGUGUUUCCCACACAUGCAGGACUUGCAAAGCUGCAGUUGUGUUGCGGGCAGCUGAGGAUACAAACAGGCAUGUCCUUUCUCCGGUUUGUGGAGGUAGAUUGCUGAGUUCCAAACCCAGAUUUGGAAAUAGACCCGUAUGGACCCCUGCCAUCAUGCAGCUGGCAUGUGUGGGCAUAGCACUGUUGCCAAAUGGGCAAGUCCUCUGGCCACAACAAAUUAUUCACCUAAACUGGGACUCCCAAACUGUGUUGAGGCCAGUGAUUUGCAUAACAUGUGUUUUGGCUAAAGUAUCUUCCAGCAGGGCCACCAGGCUUAACCUGAAGACCUCAAGAGAUGGCAGAUGCACUCUCAACAGUGAAGGUCCAGCAUUUAAUCACCUUUGGUAACUCAAGAACUAGGGGUCACCAAAUGAAAAUAGGCAUCAAUGUUAAAACAGCUAAAAGGAAGUGUUUCUUCACACAGUGAAUUCCCCCAUCAGAACGCAUUGCAAUGAUCUAACCAAGCUGAACCCCUCCCUGCUGCCCCUAUUUCAAAGCACUGCUUGUCCAAGAUUGCUUGCACUGUGAAAACCUGGGCCCUCCUAUGGCCUGGUUGUGUCACUUGUCCGAGUCCCCUGACAAGGCUGAGCCAUGGUGCUCAAGCCCAGAUACCCCAUGGACAAGAAGAGGCAAAGACCAGUGUAAACUCACCAGGAACCUCCUGCCCCCUCCUUCCUCCAUGGUGUUUUUGAAGCACCACAGUGAGGUCAUGCCUGCACAGUGUGCCAGGCAGAUUAGAACAAGCCCCCAACCCUGCUCCCUGGCUCGGGCUCACCUGAAUGGUCCCACAGGCUGGGGGUGGCCUGCAGGCUGUAGUUGCCCCUCUGCCUGCACUAGCUCAAACUCCAUCCCUUCUGCUAAACAGUCCCUCUGCUCCUUGACCAUAGCCCGCUCCUUCCCCAUCCCUGGCGAGCUCAUGACCAGUUCACACUGAUUUAGUUCUUGCGUUGCCUUAUCUCUCCCUCCCCUCCCCCCACACACAUGUGGUGUGGCCCUUAAUCUGUCAACCUCUUCAAUGAAGUUCUGAGACUCAAGGACUCUCAAGUAAAGUGUGGGCGUGGUGCCCAUGUCUAUUCUGCCUAGGGCCUGCCAGCCGCAGUGUUCUUGCUGAUCGCAGCUGUCGGAUUGGCCUGAAGAGUGUGGGAGAAACUAUCACCGUCCAGCCCUUGUCUGUGAGGCCCCUGAGCUGGUGCAGAAUUUGAUAUGGAACCAGAGCAAAGAAAUGGUGUCAUGCUUCCCCCAGCCAGCCAGACCUAGGAGGGUGUUAAAGAGCUGCAGUUUCCUGGUGCCUUUCCCAGCUAAUCGAAGGCCAUUCCUUUGCUGGGGUCCUCACAGAAGAUCAGUCUGCUGAAGGCAGCAUGUUUCUGGCCACUGGGGCUGUAUGAGGAAUGAACUCAAUCCUUCCUGAGGGCACCUUUCUCUGCCAGCCUCCAUAACCAAACUGCCCUCCUCUGCCGGCCAGUGCCCACGAGAAGGCCUGCUGUAGGCACCACAGGAAAGCAUUCAUUCUCUGUGUCAAGUCUGCUACAGGCACCAGACGGCAAGUGCCAAGCAAGGUGCAUCAUCUUCCAAAGGGCUUAUGCAGGUCAAUUACCAGCGGAGGGGGGUGCUUGGCUGUUAGCUUGGUGGCAAUGGGAAAUGGUCCCUGUUCCCAGGAAAGCCCAGCCAGGCAGAUAAACAGAGCCCAGUGUAGUGCCUCUCUGAAUAGCUUGUUUCUGUUUGAGAGAGAGUUUGGAAAGUGUCCGCUGACAGCUCUUGGGUGCUGCAACUUGUGUCCUCACCAGGGUGUUCUGGGUUUGUUUGCGUUGCUCUUUCGACUAGCUACUUACAUACUGUCAUGCUGCAGAAGUGCUUCUGAUCAGGGCGGAGAAAUGUCUGACCCUGUGGCAAUCAGAUCAACAGGCCGAGGUUGGAGGAGGCCAAAGAAUGUAACGUGAGUUGUGCACAGGCAAGCAGCGAGGUGGAGCAAGCUGUUCUGUGCAAAGUAAGCAUUUGCUUUGGGAGUGGAGAAAACCUCAUGUCUUGGAAGUCUGCAGAGAUUCACUCCUGACAUUCUCCCUGCUGGAGAUGCCUGGAACCCCCUGCAAUUCACUUGCUCUGGAUCUGUUGGAUCAAAACCGAAAGGUCCUGACUGCUCUCUAGGGACAGGAAAGAUGCUGUGUCACUUCUUGUAGGUCAGGGUUUGACCUGGUAUCUGUGGCCAGAUUGCCUCCAAUAUCUCUAAACUGCAUCUCGUCCAUUACUCCUCCCUCGCCCCCAAAGCCAGAGGCACGGAGUGCCAGAAGGGCUGCUACAUCUCUGAACUGGGCUGUGUUGGCACGGGGGGGGAUGUUCUGAGCCUGGCCCAUACAUGAGGCCUUACGCAUGGGGGCAAACUGCCAUAACCUUGCACAGCCAUGAGCUGGAAGUGUGGGUGAGUUUAAAGAUGGGUGGGGACUACUUGAACACCACCUAUCAGCUUUUCUUCCUGGCCUCGCUCCUCUCUGAUGCCCUGUUGGCAUGUGAGUUUAACCUACAGCACAUGCUCAGUGAGGCAGAUCCAGUGGUGAUCCGGGGGAGGAUGUAAAGGGUCAGGAGUCUGUUAAUCAUUCUCACCAUCUGGCAUCUCCCUGUGUCAAUGACACCAGCCUAGACUCACUUCUGGCCUUGGCCCUGCAGCUGCAGUGUUACAUUCAGCGCUUCCACAGGGAAGCCGUCUUCCAUCAUACCCCCAGCAAGGGCAUGCUUUUUAAGGGACCUGCCAAAGGAACACAUCUGUCUAGUCAAAACCUCAUUCCGAGCCAAACCAUAACAAACUGAACUUCCUGGCUAGUGGACUUGGUCUUAUAUAGCUCACCAUGUCCAUGGAAACACAUUCUGUCCUCAUACAAGUCUUGCCCUUAAAGUGCCCUUCCGUUUAUUGAAGGGUUGCUAAUACCUGGCUCCAUUCUGUAAGUAUUAUCCACUGAGACUCAUGGAUUCUUUCCUAAUUAAUACAGGUGUGAGCCCGUAUCCUAGAA